GAUGAACGCUGGCGGCGUGCCUAAUACAUGCCAGUCGAGCGAACGGACGAGAAGCUUGCUUCUCUGAUGUUAGCGGCGGACGGGUGAGUAACACGUGCAUAACCUACCUAUAAGACUGGGAUAACUUCGGGAAACCGGAGCUAAUACCGGAUAAUAUUUUGAACCGCAUGGUUCAAAAGUGAAAGACGGUCUUGCUGUCACUUAUAGCUGGAUCCGCGCUGCAUUAGCUAGUUGGUAAGGUAACGGCCUACCAAGGCAACGAUGCGUAGCCGACCUGAGAGGGUGAUCGGCCACACUGGAACUGAGACACGGUCCAGACUCCUACGGGAGGCAGCAGUGGGGAAUAUUCCACAAUGGGCGAAAGCCUGAUGGAGCAACCCCGCGUGAGUGAUGAAGGUCUUCGGGUUGUAAAACUCUGUUAUUAGGGAAGAACAGAUGUGUAAGUAACUGUGCACAUCUUGACGGUACCUAAUCAGAAAGCCACGGCUAACUACGUG
RNAcentral lists this ribosomal RNA (497 nucleotides) under uncultured bacterium. Its description in RNAcentral is "partial 16S ribosomal RNA". It matches the Rfam family "Bacterial small subunit ribosomal RNA", at positions 28 to 507 of the family's 1533-position model. The record is from RNAcentral.